CCCCGUAACUUAGGGAUAAGGGGUGCCACCAUCAGGUGGCCGCAGAGAAUAGGCCCAAGCGACUGUUUACCAAAAACAUAGGUUUCUGCUAAGUCGCAAGACGAUGUAUAGGAGCUGACGCCUGCCCGGUGCUGGAAGGUUAAGGGGAUCUGUUAGAGCAAUCGAAGCAGUGAACUUAAGCCCCAGUAAACGGCGGCCGUAACUAUAACGGUCCUAAGGUAGCGAAAUUCCUUGUCGGGUAAGUUCCGACCCGCACGAAAGGCGUAACGAUUUGGGCACUGUCUCAACAACAGACUCGGUGAAAUUGUAAUUCCGGUGAAGAUGCCGGAUACCUGCGACAGGACGGAAAGACCCCAUGGAGCUUUACUGUAGCUUGACAUUGGGUCUUGGUACUACAUGUACAGGAUAGGUGGGAGGCUUUGAAACCAGGACGCCAGUUUUGGCGGAGCCAUCCUUGGGAUACCACCCUUGUAGUACUGGGACUCUAACCAUAGGCCAUGAAUCUGGUCUUGGGACACUGUCAGGUGGGCAGUUUGACUGGGGCGGUCGCCUCCCAAAAGGUAACGGAGGCGCUCAAAGGUUCUCUCAGUACGGUCGGAAAUCGUACGUAGAGUGUAAAGGCAAAAGAGAGCUUGAUUGCAAGACAUACAGGUCGAGCAAGGAUGAAAAUCGGACUUAGUGAUCCGGUGGUUCUGCGUGGAAGGGCCAUCGCUCAACGGAUAAAAGCUACCCUGGGGAUAACAGGCUUAUCUCCCCCAAGAGUCCACAUCGACGGGGAGGUUUGGCACCUCGAUGUCGGCUCAUCACAUCCUGGGGCUGUAGUAGGUCCCAAGGGUUGGGCUGUUCGCCCAUUAAAGUGGUACGCGAGCUGGGUUCAGAACGUCGUGAGACAGUUCGGUCCCUAUCCGUCGCAGGCGUAGGAAAUUUGAGAAGACCUGUCCUUAGUACGAGAGGACCGGGAUGGACGUACCUCUGGUGUACCAGUUGUCCUGCCAAGGGCAUGGCUGGGUAGCUAUGUACGGAAUGGAUAAGCGCUGAAAGCAUCUAAGCGCGAAGCCAACUUCAAGAUAAGAUUUCCCACCGCAAGGGUAAGACCCCAGAAAGACUAUCUGGUUGAUAGGUCGAAGGUGUAAGUGCAGCAAUGUAUUUAGCUUAUCGAUACUAAUAG
This 1168-nucleotide ribosomal RNA is filed under the name Clostridioides difficile. Its description in RNAcentral is "partial 23S ribosomal RNA". It matches the Rfam family "Bacterial large subunit ribosomal RNA", at positions 1726 to 2907 of the family's 2925-position model. Lineage: Bacteria; Bacillati; Bacillota; Clostridia; Peptostreptococcales; Peptostreptococcaceae. The record is from RNAcentral.